UACGUAGGGUGCGAGCGUUAAUCGGAAUUACUGGGCGUAAAGCGUGCGCAGGCGGUUUUGUAAGUCAGAUGUGAAAUCCCCGGGCUUAACCUGGGAAUGGCAUUUGGGACUGCAAGGCUGGAGUGUGGCAGAGGAGAGUGGAAUUCCCGGUGUAGCAGUGAAAUGCGCAGAUAUCAGGAGGAACACCAAUAGCGAAGGCAGCUCGCUGGGACGUUACUGACACUGAGGCGCGAAAGCGUGGGGAGCGAACAGG
RNAcentral lists this ribosomal RNA (253 nucleotides) under uncultured bacterium. RNAcentral describes it as "partial 16S ribosomal RNA". It matches the Rfam family "Bacterial small subunit ribosomal RNA", at positions 524 to 776 of the family's 1533-position model. The record is from RNAcentral.